RNAcentral lists this ribosomal RNA (253 nucleotides) under uncultured bacterium. Its description in RNAcentral is "partial 16S ribosomal RNA". It matches the Rfam family "Bacterial small subunit ribosomal RNA", at positions 524 to 776 of the family's 1533-position model. The record is from RNAcentral.
UACGUAGGCAGCGAGCGUUGUUCGGAAUUACUGGGCGUAAAGAGUGUGUAGGCGGUGCUCUAAGUUCGGGGUGAAAUCUCCUGGCUUAACUGGGAGGGUGCGCCGGAAACUGGAGUGCUCGAACGUGGGAGAGGAAAGCGGAAUUCCUGGUGUAGCGGUGAAAUGCGUAGAUAUCAGGAGGAACACCUGCGGUGUAGACGGCUUUCUGGACCAUUGUUGACGCUGAGACACGAAAGCGUGGGUAGCAAACAGG